This is a long non-coding RNA of Diorhabda carinulata, 7798 nucleotides long. RefSeq lists it as uncharacterized. The record is from RefSeq and is a predicted model, not a curated record. Lineage: Eukaryota; Metazoa; Arthropoda; Insecta; Coleoptera; Chrysomelidae. The transcript has 2 exons.
UCAGAAGGAUACUUAAUAGCAGAAAUCUAUGGAAAUAUUCUAAUUGUCUGUUGUCAGUCUGGUGCGCGCUUAUGAAAUUCUAAAUUUACCACAUCAAAAAUCCACAAGUGGCACUAAAAAUAGUAAAAAUAAAAAACUGGGUAUAGCUCCGAUCUACCGCACACAGUUCGAAAAUGAGUUUCUUGGUUUCGAAUACGGCGGUUUCUCAGAAAGUUCUCAGUCGUAUGCAAGUUCUUAUCGUUUUGGUGGUAAUAGUGGUGGAAAUUCUUAGUGUUCAUAGUUUUAAAAAUUCGUGUCAUUCCGGACAAAUAGGUAUUGCCGAAUUCGAUUUAAAAUUGAGAUGUGGAGAAAGUCAACUUCCCUGUGGAAAGCCGCAGAAAAGGGCUAUGCUAUUAAGGACAUUAUUGGAAUUGAAUCUCACAACUCCUACAACACCUAAUAUGGUUAUACUCUACAGGUGCGAAGACAGCGGAUGUUGUGCCCGAAACCACGAAAGAUGUUCAAACAGUAGUGCAACGGAGCAUCAAAUAAAUUUCAUUACUAACACAGGAUUGCAAAAAUCAAUGACGAUAUACAACCACACCGCCUGUUCGUGUAUGUACAUUCCAGAGACGCAGGAAUGCUUUCUAUAAAUAUCCAGUCGAUUAGAAGUAUGAUAAAUAAAUAUUUAAAUAAAAACACAGUAUUAUACGAUGUUAUGAGGUGCCUUCGAUACAGGUACUAAAACGAAAAGUCAAAAUAUAGAAAGGAAAAUGUUUUAAGUAGACAAGACAAGAAUCCAAUUUAAUGCAAAUUGGUUUUUGCUAAAAACUUUUUAUAUUCUAACAGUUGCACAAAAACGUCCAAGACAAGAAAAAAAAUACGUUAUUAGAAAAAUUUUACGGAAUAUACGAAUUUCAAUGUAAAAUUUAUUCAUCCAACUGUGUAAGAUAAAUUAUAUUAAACUGUUCCAAUGGAUUCUCACUUGCCUCUUUGACUGCUUUAUUUAAUAACAAAAUUGAUCAGUAUCAGAGCAGGCAGUACACAAAAUUUUAUUUUUUAGAUAAUAUUUUAUUGAAUUUGAAACAUUUAUAACCAAAAAUAUGAUUAAUUAAACUCUUAACAUGGAGGCUUAAUAAUAAAGUAGAUUCUGAAAUAUUAAUACUGUUUACAGGAACUGCUCUAUUUAUUAGAAUCGACAUUGAUCAGUAUAUGGGUGGGAAGUUAACAAAAUUUUAUUUUUUAUAUGAUGUUCUAUUGAAUUUGGAAUAUUUAUAACCAAAAAUAUGAUUAAUUAAACUCUUGAUAUGGAGGCUUGGCAAUAAAGUAGAUUCUGAAAUACUAAUACUGUUUACAGGAACUGCUAUAUUUAUUAGAAUCGACAUUGAUCAGUAUAUGGGUGGGAAGUUAACAAAAUUUUAUUUUUUAUAUGAUGUUCUAUUGAAUUUGGAAUAUUUAUAACCAAAAAUAUGAUUAAUUAAACUCUUGAUAUGGAGGCUUGGCAAUAAAGUAGAUUCUGAAAUACUAAUACUGUUUACAGGAACUGCUAUAUUUAUUAGAAUCGACAUUGAUCAGUAUAUGGGUGGGAAGUUAACAAAAUUUUAUUUUUUAUAUGAUGUUCUAUUGAAUUUGGAACAUUUAUAACCAAAAAUAUGAUUAAUUAAACUCUUGAUAUGGAGGUUUGGUAAUAAAGUAGACUCUGAAAUACUAAUACUGUUUACAGGAACUGCUCUAUUUAUUAGAAUCGACAUUGAUCAGUAUAUGGGUGGGAAGUUAACAAAAUUUUAUUUUUUAUAUGAUGUUCUAUUGAAUUUGGAACAUUUAUAACCAAAAAUAUGAUUAAUUAAACUCUUGAUAUGGAGGUUUGGUAAUAAAGUAGACUCUGAAAUACUAAUACUGUUUACAGGAACGGCUCUAUUUAUUAGAAUCGACAUUGAUCAGUAUAUGGGUGGGAAGUUAACAAAAUUUUAUUUUUUAUAUGAUGUUCUAUUGAAUUUGGAACAUUUAUAACCAAAAAUAUGAUUAAUUAAACUCUUGAUAUGGAGGUUUGGUAAUAAAGUAGACUCUGAAAUACUAAUACUGUUUACAGGAACUGCUCUAUUUAUUAGAAUCGACAUUUAAAGAUGUGAAGAAGAAUCACCAAAUAAAUACUAAAGUAAGGGUUCAGGGUAUCAAAUUUUUCAUGUUCAAUCGAGUCUUUUGAAUAAGUUAAUGGUAUUAGAUUUACCUUUGGUAAAAUACGAUCCCGUAGGAUUUAUAAUUCUACUGGUUUGUUUGGAACUUCGUUUCCGAAUUGUCCCCACAAUAAAAAUAUGUCAAUAUGUCUGUGAAUACAGAGUGGUCAACUUAAUGAAUCGUGACGUUUUGUUAAAACUGAUAGAUUGGUUAAUAUAUCUAUACUAAAAUUAAUUUGUAUAUUCCGUAUUUUUUUCAGCAUUGCAGAUUAUGUUGCGGACGAAUUUAUAAAUGAUUAAAAUGUAUCUAUUAUUUAUGCAAGAAAUAUUUCAGAUUCUACUAUUGAAAAUUUAAGACUAAAGCAGGUUUCAAAUGUUAAUUAACGUUGUAUUAUUUAUCUUUGUAUGAUGGCAAGAUUCUAUUUUUGAUAGAUUUUGAGAUAUUGAAGCUUUUUUAUUAUUUCCAAAGCCUGGACCCUAAACGAACUUUAUAUUUCUUGCAUCAACAACGUUUUUAUUUUGAUUUGAAUGAAUAUGAAUGAACGUGUGGUGUGAUCAUAAAGACUUUAGUUAAGAAUCAGUAUUCUAAGAAUCGAUGUAUAUAUUUGGUAUUAUAGAUUUAAGUUUAAGAAAUGAAAGUUAUUUAUUAUCAUUUUCAUUACCGAGGACUACUUUAAUAUGACUAAUUGCAAGCCGUAAAAGUUUAAUAUAAAAAUUUCGCAACUAUGUUGUACAAAGUGGACUAACGAAAAGAUACCGGGAAGAACAUUAUUGGCAAUUAAUUUUUGCACUUUUGAAAUAGCCAAGGAAAAAACGUAUCGUUUUCAAGUCACCGUAAUCUCGCUGGCAUUCCUGAAAUAUUAAAUUCUUCGACAUAUAGGGCCGGGUGUGUUACAAAUUUCUUGGUUUAUUCACGUAAACUAGACUUUUGAGAAAAUCCCAUCGAAAGAAAUCAGCUGAAGAUAGGUCUGGGCCACGAAUACUUCUGUACAUAAUUAUUUUAUUUAUUCUAUUGUUGUAAUCCUCAAAAAUAUGAAACUACUGUUGUGAGAAUAAAAACGUAACGUCUUUGGUGUUUCAAUUAAAGGUUUUCUCUAUUCCAAAAUCUGUCAUUUGAUUUUUUGGCUUCGACUAAGCAGAAAUGUGAUUGCACUAACUGGUUCUAGGUAUCUAGCGAUUAUCCAGAAAGUUCAGGAGGGUUUUAGUGUCCACGAAUUAAUCUACGGCUACUUCGAUAGCUUCAUUGAAUACAGUCACCCAAAAGUUCUCAAUCAGCUUUACAAGAAAUAUUUCUCACGGUAUUAAUCUGCGUGAAAAGUGGUCAAUCUUAAAGCAAAGUUGACGUAUUUUCCGUAGUUUUGACCAUAUUGUAUGACAACUAUUAUCACUAACCAAAUAAAAGAGAAAAUACGGGUUUGUCGUUAAGAUCUUCGUAAAAUCUAUUUUAUGAAAAAUGUUGUAUCAUUCGAAGAUUUUUUCAAAUGAAUAAAAUUUAAAUUGUUUCUUAUAAUUUUGGUAUGUUGAUAAAAAUAGUUGCGUAAUUUUUUUAUUGGAUACUUACAGUGAAACAAAUUUUAAAAUUACGAUAUAUACUGUAAAUGUUGAAAUUAAUUUUUAAUUGUUUUUAUUUAUUAUUUAAUGUAAUUUAUCAUCUUUUUAGGAAUUACAAGACUUCGCAUAAUGGAGAACUGUCUAUAAGAACAUGAAUAUUUUCUAAAAGUAUAAAUUGAUUGGAAAUGUGCGUUGUAUAGUGAAAACUGUGAGAAAACACGCAAGUUGAAUUAUGAACUUAGCUUUUUAGAUACCAACUCUACCCUCCUUAGUUUUCUAAACACGAUCUACCAAAUAAACAUUAUUAUCUAAGCCAUCUGCCACUGAUCCAUUUAUAAAUCAAAACAACUAUUUAGCGUCAACAACAAUACAAUUGUUUUAAUCUAUUGCUGGAUUUAUAAAAGCCCUUCUACCAUUUAGUGGUGUAGGGUGUUGAUUCCAUUCAUUACAAUUAUGAGCUAGGUUCUUUGCUUCUCUCCAGUUUAUUCCUCGUUCAUUCAGUAUUUUCUCGGUCAACUUCUCUUUCUGUUGUUUCCAAUUUCCGUUUUCCAUAUUCUUUUAAAAUUCAUCCGUCGCCCCAACCAUUUUAGUUGCCUUUCCUCUAUUUAGGUCUUUUCUUUUAUCUAUGCUUUGUAUUUUAUCGUUUUCUGUCACUCCUUUCAAUCUAUUUAGGUAUUUCAUUUCUGUAGCCUGAAUAUUAUUUUUCUGUCGUUUUGUUAAUACCCAAGAUUCACAUCGGAAUGUUUGUAGUAUCCUUAGUUUGGUAUUUCCGGAUAUCUUUUUUUGUUUAUGAAUUUAAUGUUCACGGCGUAAUAUAGUUUAUUGCUUUUUGCAAUUCUGUUAAUUGUAUCUGCAUCUUGCGUCCUGUUUUCGUCUAUUAUUGUUCCUAGGUAUUGGUAGUGUUUAACUUGUUCCAGUGUUUUUGUAUCGAUUCUUAGAUUCUUUUCUUAUACUUUUGUCUUGUUCAUGUUCAAUAUUUUCUUGUAACUCUUUUUCGUUCUUUACUAUUAGCAUGACAUCGUCUGCAAAUGUUCUUUCUUUGUAGUUGUGAAUGCCCCACACAUAUUUUUUUACUCCACACAAUGCAUAUUAUAUUUAUGAUCUAGUCCAUGAAUAUGAAGAAUAAUAAUGGACUUAAACUUCCCCCUUAUCUUAAUCCUAUGUUUGUAGUGAAACCAUUCCAUAUUUUGUUAUUUCUCAUGACUGCAUUCUUUUGUUUUCAUAAAUAUUUUGUAUUAUCUUCAUAACUUCGACCAGUAUUUCCCAUAUUUUAUGAACCAAAUUUAAAUCAAUUCUUCUAGAAAUUUCUUUCCGUCCUUUCGUAUAAACAGAAUUGAAAGGUUCUAAAGCAAAUUUUUCCUAUUAUUCAUUUUGCCCGUUAAGUACCGUCACAUCAGUAAAAUUAUUUUCCUUAUUCUACCUUUCGAUACUCGAUGAAGACUGGCCAUCUUAUUUUGGAAAAAAUCAGUCGGGAUGUAGCUGCUCGUAGCUACUGGUAACUGUCCAUUAUUUCAUCAGUAAACUUUAUGGAUGGCCAAUUUUAAUUGAGUUUUAAAAUGCGGGCACGUUUACAGCGGUUGAUUCGUUGGACCCAAUUUUCCAUGACUUGGCCACACAUUUCGGCCUAAACGGCUGCUAUUUCGCGUUCAAUGUUGACUUUGAGCUCUUCCAACGUCGUCGGCUUAUUAGCAUAGACCAAUGACUCGACGUAGCCCUAAAGAAAAAAAUCUAUCGCACGAACGAGACGGCCAAUCCACUGGUCCAUUUCUUGAGAUGCUCCACAAACUUGUUCUUCAAUAAAUCGAUUGUAACGUGUGCUGUGUGGCUUGUAGCGUCGUCCUGUUGAAACCACAUGCUGUCCAAGUCCAUAUAUUCCAAUUUGGGCCAAAAAUAAUCGAUAAUCAUGGCGCGAUAAUGAUCACCAUUCACAGUAACGUGGCGACCACAUUAAACAGUUAUCUUUUGUGGAUGAAGUGGUUUUUCAUUAAGCACAUUUGGAUUUUCACCCGCCCGAUACCGCAUACCGAUACGUACGUCGCUUCGAAUGGUUCAUCGGCUUCAAUUUUUGAGUGAGCCUGAUCUUGUAUGGGUGUAUAGUAAGAUACUUACGCAAAAUUCGCCAUAAAGUGGUCUUGGCGAUGGCCAACACUUGAGAACGCCGUGGAAUUGACUGAUUUGGAUUAUUUGCUACGGACGUUUCAACGGCAGUGACUUUGACCGUAAUCUCACUGGCAACUUGUUACUGCCUGUCUACUAGGUCAAGAAUUACGACCGAAAAUUGUAGUUAACGCUCUUAAAGUAGUGGCCACCCACUCCGAGUUUCUGUAGUAAAUUUUCAAGAUUUGCAGACGUUGUUCGUUCGUGUAAUUCACCGUGAUGAAAAGGUUAUGUUUACUGAAUAAACUGGCAGCGACAGUUCGAUGUUAAGUGAAAAGGUGCGUUCACAAACUAAAUUCAAAAUUUUGACCAAGUCGAUUUUUUACAUUGCUGCCUCGUUGCCACUUUUUGGUGUUUUUUUUUUUUCUUAAAACGAUGUAAGUCGACUAUUGUCACAUUCGAUUCAAUUACAAAAUCACUUGGAUAUGAAACAAAUUAUUUAUCAUUAGAAAAAUACUUGAAUUUGUAUUUUUUUGUUUCAAUCUUUGAGGAAUGUUUAGAUUGGUUUUUUCUUUUAGAAAAUAUUUAUUAUAUAAGUAUUUAGAAAAUAAAGACAGUUUUCUAUUUUGACAAUUUAGAAAAAAAAACAUUGUAUACGUGCGUGUUCAAUUAGAAAAAUGGAUUAUAUAUAAUCAAUUUUAUUUAAAUAUUUGACAAAGAAAUAGCUGUAUGUAAAUUAUUUUUUAAUCUGUGAUUACUUAAUGUCAAUUCACUAAAACUGUUUGUUAUCUGUAAAUAUUCACAUUAAACACACAUCCAUCUUUUUAUCUGUCUGUGACGUAUUAUUUAGCAGAAUACAAAAUUCUGUGAAAAGUUCUCUUGCAGAUGAUACAGAAUAAAUAUUUUCCAAAAAAAAAAUACUUGGAGAAGUGUGGUUUGAUACAAACUACGAAUGCUUAACUUAAAUCAUCAGUAAUUUAAAAGUCUGGGCAUGAUUGUCUUCGUCAUAGACGUUUGUAAGCCAAUCUUUAAAUUAUGACGAAAAUGUCAUAUGUCGAGUCAAAAUUUUGAUUCGUCAAAAGCAGUUACACUGUGCGCGUUUUUUUAUAUUCGUUUUUGGGGCACUGCAAAUAUUUAUUUUCUUUAAUGAAUCCCUAGAUGUUAUUGUUGUUAAAUGGUGACGAAAUAGAAAAUUGUAUCGUUUCUCCUACUUUUCCCGUGCACACAAAUUUGUUCGAUCGCUCAAAUAAUUCUGACGACGUCGUGAAUGUUCUGACAUGCUGGGGUCUACCAGUAGAAAGACUCAUUGGAAAAGAAGCGUUUGUUCAUUCGAACGAACGCAUCAGACCACAUUUUUGUCUGAUUUUGCAUCCAAAGUAAUCGUAGUGUCACUUAUUUUUGGACUACACUUUCAAUCGUUACUUCAGUGCCAUAAAUUAUCAUCUAGAGAAGAAUGUCUGUAGCUGAGAUAUUUUUUGUUGUCAGAGAUUAAAGACACGUCACGAAACUCACAGGCUGCUACAAGAUGAAAAUAUCGAGUGCUUGUAUGCAGGUCAGGGACGCAGCCUUCCUUAUUUCAGACAAGUCUUAGAUUCAUAUGGAAAAUCGAAUGCUCCAAAUUUUUCGCAAACAAUCCUGCUCCCGCAGUUUAAUAAAAACAAUUAUCUCGUUAUUUCGUUUAUGAUAAUUUUUCUCGAAUUGAUUCAGAACUCAAAAGUAGUAGACGUGGUGUGGUUGACGAGUGAGAUUUUAUUCGGACCUAAAAACUUUCGUUAACUUCGACUUCUUUAACUGAUUUUUCAAUUUUCUCACUAUUUUUGGUUACUGUUUCAUAUUAUCCUUUUAUAUAACAAAAAAGAUGGAUGUAUGGAAUUUAAAUGCUUUUUAAGUCAUAUUUGUUGUCUGUUUUAUGUAAUUGUAAAAAAAUUUUUAUACUCGCUAUUUAUAUAUGUACAUAAAGAAGUAAAAUUAUUUUCAUAAACGCUUUCUUAACAUAA